This 780-nucleotide ribosomal RNA is filed under the name uncultured bacterium. RNAcentral describes it as "bacterial SSU rRNA". It matches the Rfam family "Bacterial small subunit ribosomal RNA", at positions 34 to 796 of the family's 1533-position model. The record is from RNAcentral.
CGCUGGCGGCGUGCCUAAUACAUGCAAGUCGAGCGAACGGACGAGAAGCUUGCUUCUCUGAUGUUAGCGGCGGACGGGUGAGUAACACGUAGAUAACCUACCUAUAAGACUGGGAUAACUUCGGGAAACCGGAGCUAAUACCAGAUAAUAUUUUGAACCGCAUGGUUCAAAAGUGAAAGACGGUCUUGCUGUCACUUAUAGAUGGAUCCGCGCUGCAUUAGCUAGUUGGUAAGGUAACGGCUUACCAAGGCAACGAUGCAUAGCCGACCUGAGAGGGUGAUCGGCCACACUGGAACUGAGACACGGUCCAGACUCCUACGGGAGGCAGCAGUAGGGAAUCUUCCGCAAUGGGCGAAAGCCUGACGGAGCAACGCCGCGUGAGUGAUGAAAGUCUUCGGAUCGUAAAACUCUGUUAUUAGGGAAGAACAUAUGUGUAAGUAACUGUGCACAUCUUGACGGUACCUAAUCAGAAAGCCACGGCUAACUACGUGCCAGCAGCCGCGGUAAUACGUAGGUGGCAAGCGUUAUCCGGAAUUAUUGGGCGUAAAGCGCGCGUAGGCGGUUUUUUAAGUCUGAUGUGAAAGCCCACGGCUCAACCGUGGAGGGUCAUUGGAAACUGGAAAACUUGAGUGCAGAAGAGGAAAGUGGAAUUCCAUGUGUAGCGGUGAAAUGCGCAGAGAUAUGGAGGAACACCAGUGGCGAAGGCGACUUUCUGGUCUGUAACUGACGCUGAUGUGCGAAAGCGUGGGGAUCAAACAGGAUUAGAUACCCUGGUAGUCC